AACGCGAAGAACCUUACCCGGGCUUAAAUUGCAGUGGAAUGAUGUGGAAACAUGUCAGUGAGCAAUAGCGUCUGUGUAGGUGCUGCAUGGUUGUCGUCAGCUCGUGCCGUGAGGUGUCGGCUUAAGUGCCAUAACGAGCGCAACCCACAUUAUUAGUUACUAACAGGUUAUGCUGAGGACUCUAGAGAGACUGCCGUCGUAAGAUGUGAGGAAGGUGGGGAUGACGUCAAAUCAGCACGGCCCUUACGUCCGGGGCUACACACGUGUUACAAUGGGGGGUACAGAAGGCAGCUAGUGUGCGACCGUAUGCUAAUCCCAAAAUCCUCUCUCAGUUCGGAUCGAAGUCUGCAACCCGACUUCGUGAAGCUGGAUUCGCUAGUAAUCGCGCAUCAGCCACGGCGCGGUGAAUACGUUCCCGGGCCUUGUACACACCGCC
This 436-nucleotide ribosomal RNA is filed under the name uncultured bacterium. Its description in RNAcentral is "bacterial SSU rRNA". It matches the Rfam family "Bacterial small subunit ribosomal RNA", at positions 958 to 1394 of the family's 1533-position model. The record is from RNAcentral.